RNAcentral lists this ribosomal RNA (119 nucleotides) under Triticum aestivum (bread wheat). The record is from RNAcentral. RNAcentral also lists the same sequence under 1 other name. Lineage: Eukaryota; Viridiplantae; Streptophyta; Magnoliopsida; Poales; Poaceae.
GGAUUCGAUCAUACCAGCACUAAAGCACCGCAUCCCAUCAGAACUCCGAAGUUAAGCGUGCUUGGGCGAGAGUAGUACUAGGAUGGGUGACCUCCUGGGAAGUCCUCGUGUUGCAUUCC